RNAcentral lists this ribosomal RNA (253 nucleotides) under uncultured bacterium. RNAcentral's name for it is "partial 16S ribosomal RNA". It matches the Rfam family "Bacterial small subunit ribosomal RNA", at positions 524 to 776 of the family's 1533-position model. The record is from RNAcentral.
UACAGAGGGUGCAAGCGUUGUUCGGAAUUAUUGGGCGUAAAGGGCGCGUAGGCGGUGCCACAAGUCACCUGUGAAAUCUCCGGGCUUAACUCGGAGCCUGCAGGCGAAACUGUGGUGCUGGAGUGUGGGAGAGGUGCGUGGAAUUCCCGGUGUAGCGGUGAAAUGCGUAGAUAUCUGAAGGAACAUCAGUGGCGAAAGCGACUUCCUGGACCAAUACUGACGCUCAUGUGCGAAAGCGUGGGGAGCAAACAGG